Long non-coding RNA from Branchiostoma floridae (Florida lancelet), 614 nucleotides. RefSeq lists it as uncharacterized. The record is from RefSeq and is a predicted model, not a curated record. The transcript has 3 exons. Lineage: Eukaryota; Metazoa; Chordata; Leptocardii; Amphioxiformes; Branchiostomatidae.
AUUGGUCAGAAGUACUGGUAACGUUAGGGAGAAAUGACCAAUCAGAGCACAGACUGAAGCAAAUUCAAGAUGGCUGCUGGCGUGUGUUCGGGCAAGGAGGGAUAUAGUUGGUGCAACUGCAGAUGGAAAGAGAAGCCAGUCCAAGUCAUUUAAAGGUCCUCAAAGUGCUGGGACAAGACAUCCCUUUUACAAGGUCAAUCAAUCAAUCAAGUUGUACACAGGUGCCUGUUGAUUGAUGGAGUGAGCAGGUUCCUUGAGAGGAGAAAAGAAGACUAAGGGCUGGAUCUUUAUUCGAGGCCUUCUCAUGCAUGAGCAUACCACAGGCACACCAGGCCAGCCACUCCAGGUGUAUGGAGAUCAAGGCGAUCAAGGAGGUGCACCUAUCUACAGUAUGCUCAACAGUGCCUACGAGAUUUUAAUGGCCAGAUCACUGCAAAGCAGAUCCGCCAUCUAGCUGCCAACGGAAGAAACUUACGUAGAUGACACACAUCAGCUGAAUGGAGAGAACCAGCCUUCACUUCCAUCAGCAGAAGGUGACAAAUCGCAGCUGAAGGGAGAGAACAAGCCUUCACUUCCAUCAGCAGAAGGUGACACACAGCAGCUGAAGGGAGAGA